Non-coding RNA from Triticum urartu, 1156 nucleotides. The record is from RefSeq and is a predicted model, not a curated record. NCBI's taxonomy places the organism in Eukaryota, Viridiplantae, Streptophyta, Magnoliopsida, Poales, Poaceae.
GAUUACAUGGGCCAAAAGCAGUACUAUUCAGAGGCAUCUUGGGGGCCAAAAGUGUAUCUCUUGACUUGCUGUUGCUGGUCUUCCUCUGUAUCUCAGUCCUCAUCUCCACCACCGACAGAGUGCUCCCUUCCUCUCAUCUCAGUCCUCCUCUUCUCCAUUGCGCUCCCUGGAAUAAGAUCGAUCCGCCUUGUUGUUUGGUGAGCUCAUCCAAUCUCCGCCCCUGACACCUGUGGAGCAUCCACAGAGUGGAACAGCUAGCAAGAACCACUGAGUUUCCGGUCAUUAUUCAGAGCACCACACAUCGAAUCCACUGACCUGAUUGAGUGAAGCGACCUCCACGAAGCGCCGUCUAGUCCCCUCACGGAUCUGGCCUCUGGUGCCCAGCCGCCGCUUUCGCUUCGUUGUCCGACGAGGCCACCGCCGCUGUGUUCUGCUCUGCCGUGAAGCAUCAAAAGUGACCAUCGGACGAUGACGCCGCCGCUGUGUUCUGCUCUGCCGUGAAGCAUCAAAGUGAUCUCGCAGUUUGGAUUGGCAACUCAGUUCUAGAGGAGCUCGUUGAAAUUAAAGCGCCGCCGCUUCCGCUUCGUUGUCACCAUCCGCUGCUGUGUUCUGCUCUACUCUGAAACACCAAAGGUUUCCAGCUGAUUGAUCCAGCGAGCUCUCAUGGAUAUUGUCACGGGUGCCAUUGCCAAGCUGAUCCCCAAGCUGGCCGACCUACUUGUGGGGGAGUACAAGCUGCACAAGAACGUCAAGAAAAAUAUCAAGGACCUCCUGAAGGAGCUUGAGAGCAUGAACGUUGCCCUCGUCAAGAUUGGUGAGGUGCCGCGGGACCAGCUCGACAAACAAGACAAGCUCUGUGCGUGAAACUUGAUUUGCAUAACACAUUGGUCGAGCGAUGUAUAUAUAGUAGAGAUUACGAGUAGGUAGCAGCUUCAUUUUCCAUCCAUGGUACGUUCUAGUAGCAAGGUACACGUGCCACACGACUUGCAUGCAGAGCUUCUUCGUCGACACAUCCAUUAAGUUUAGGUCAAGCAAGCAACCUACAGGUAGCUGGCGAAUUGAUAUAUAUGGUCUUGAAUGCUUACUUCUAUGUACGCGAUAAGAGAUAAUAUUUUCAGGUAUUCUAAAAUCAUAAUCUAUUAAUAUUAAGGAUAAU